CCACUUUUCCCCCUCGCUCACACAUCUCAUGGCUGCUGGGGGUUCGUCGCCGACGCCCUCGUCGUCAUCAACAACCGCAAGGGGAAGCAAGGGUAGAUCAAAACGGAGAGGCUCCCGGGGAGGAAGGAGAUACGGGAGGGAUUUUUUGUGCGAGGCGAGGGCCGGCCGAGGGGGUCCUGCUAGAGGUGGAGCGGUAGGGGCUCGCCGGAGUGCGUAUGCAGGAGGGGUGUUUUACGUGCUCAGCUCAGGUGCGGCACCCGAGGGGCAAGCGAGGAGAGGCGCUCAACCUGACGAUUUAUUCAGCAGACAAUUUUUGGCAGCGCGUGUGUGGUUCAAUAUGCAAUUUCUGUAAGCCACGCAAAUAUAUCUGUGAUUCAGUAGGCAAUACUGUAGUAUAAUGAUUUUUUCCAGCAUUUUUGUGUCUAGUUUGGGAACAGAAGUAGGGAAUACUGUGGUUUUUGUAGACAAUUAGACAUAGAUUAGUAUGCAAUUAGAAUCAGAUAAUAGGCAAUUCUGUGUGAUCAUGGAUUCUUUUUGUAGGCAAUACUGUGGUUGUUUUUGUAGGCAAUUAGACCAGAUAUCUGACUGAUGUAUAUGGAUUAUCAUGGUAUUAUUUGUUCAUUUGAUCAUGUGCUCUGUUUUGCUUUUCAACAGGAUGCCGUAAGUCUGCUCCCACAACUGGAGGAGUGAGGAAGUCUCACCGUUACCGCCCUGGAACUGUUUGCUCUUCGUGAGAUCCGCAAAUACUAGAAGAGCACGGAGCUGCUCAUAAGGAAGCUUCCAUUCCAGAGGCUUGUUAGGGAGAUUGCCCAGGAUUUCAAGCAAGGUGCAAGACAAUAGGCAAGAAAAGAAUUCAAGAACCAGCCACUUUAUGCAGUAUCAUGGUUGUACAGGGAGGCAAGAACAAGGGACCAGAUUUGGGGCGAGAUUUCAAGUCAGGUUUCUGGGCGACUUGGGUACUGGAGGCAAGUAUGCAAGUAGUAGAGCAUGGGGUAGGUAACGUAUAGAGGGGGAGUUCAACUAGAUCGAGUAGAACUAUGGUCAAGAAUGGACCUGUUACCUUUGCUGUCUUUCACCAGGAGAAAUUUGCUCAGUUCUGGCAAAUUUUUUGCCCACUUUUUUUUUUCAGAUUGUUGCUUGAUCAGCACAAAUAGUUGCAGACAACAUUGUCUUCUUCACGAAUUUCCCACGAUCUAUCUGACUUUGAUUUUUCUCA
Molecule: long non-coding RNA, 1216 nt
Organism: Triticum aestivum (bread wheat)
Lineage: Eukaryota; Viridiplantae; Streptophyta; Magnoliopsida; Poales; Poaceae
Exons: 3
Source: RefSeq, a predicted model, not a curated record